CUUGCUCCUGGAUUCAGCGGCGGACGGGUGAGUAAUGCCUAGGAAUCUGCCUGGUAGUGGGGGAUAACGUCCGGAAACGGGCGCUAAUACCGCAUACGUCCUGAGGGAGAAAGUGGGGGAUCUUCGGACCUCACGCUAUCAGAUGAGCCUAGGUCGGAUUAGCUAGUUGGUGGGGUAAAGGCCUACCAAGGCGACCAUCCGUAACUGGUCUGAGAGGAUGAUCAGUCACACUGGAACUGAGACACGGUCCAGACUCCUACGGGAGGCAGCAGUGGGGAAUAUUGGACAAUGGGCGAAAGCCUGAUCCAGCCAUGCCGCGUGUGUGAAGAAGGUCUUCGGAUUGUAAAGCACUUUAAGUUGGGAGGAAGGGCAGUAAGUUAAUACCUUGCUGUUUUGACGUUACCAACAGAAUAAGCACCGGCUAACUUCGUGCCAGCAGCCGCGGUAAUACGAAGGGUGCAAGCGUUAAUCGGAAUUACUGGGCGUAAAGCGCGCGUAGGUGGUUCAGCAAGUUGGAUGUGAAAUCCCCGGGCUCAACCUGGGAACUGCAUCCCAAACUACUGAGCUAGAGUACGGUAGAGGGUGGUGGAAUUUCCUGUGUAACGGUGAAAUGCGUACAUCUUGGAAGGAA
Molecule: ribosomal RNA, 631 nt
Filed under: Pseudomonas aeruginosa
Lineage: Bacteria; Pseudomonadati; Pseudomonadota; Gammaproteobacteria; Pseudomonadales; Pseudomonadaceae
Description: bacterial SSU rRNA
Rfam family: Bacterial small subunit ribosomal RNA
Source: RNAcentral